UGCUGGUCACAAGUUAGUGAGUUAUUUCCACGGAUUGUUCACAGUCAGUUACAGAUUGAACACUUUGUUCUAUUGUUUCUCCCCUUCUCAAUACCACAUUUGACUAGUGCUUU
Molecule: unclassified non-coding RNA, 113 nt
Organism: Otolemur garnettii (small-eared galago)
Lineage: Eukaryota; Metazoa; Chordata; Mammalia; Primates; Galagidae
Rfam family: Y RNA
About the family: Y RNAs are components of the Ro ribonucleoprotein particle (Ro RNP), in association with Ro60 and La proteins. The Y RNAs and Ro60 and La proteins are well conserved, but the function of the Ro RNP is not known.
Source: Ensembl